RNAcentral lists this ribosomal RNA (262 nucleotides) under uncultured bacterium. Its description in RNAcentral is "partial 16S ribosomal RNA". It matches the Rfam family "Bacterial small subunit ribosomal RNA", at positions 524 to 784 of the family's 1533-position model. The record is from RNAcentral.
UACGUAGGGUGCGAGCGUUAAUCGGAAUUACUGGGCGUAAAGUGUGCGCAGGCGGCAGAGCAAGUCGAGUGUGAAAGCCCCGGGCUUAACUUGGGAAUUGCGCUCGAAACUACUUUGCUGGAGUGUGGCAGAGGGAAGGUGGAAUUCCACGUGUAGCGGUGGAAUGCGCAGAUAUCAGGAGGAACACCGAUGGCGAAGGCAGGUCUCUGGGCCAUUACUGACACUGAGACGCGAAAGCGUGGGGAGCAAACAGGAUUAGAAC